UAAAAUUCUCAGGGCGGGGCGAAAUUCCCCACCGGCGGUAUGUCAGUAAUGAUGAGCCCGCGAGCGCUCGAUUAUUGUCGAGGUCAGCAGAUCUGGUGAAAAACCAGAGCCGACGGUUAUAGUCCGGAUGAGAGAGAAUAGAG
RNAcentral lists this non-coding RNA (143 nucleotides) under Vibrio marisflavi. RNAcentral describes it as "FMN". It matches the Rfam family "FMN riboswitch aptamer (RFN element)". Rfam says of the family: The RFN element is a highly conserved domain that is found frequently in the 5'-untranslated regions of prokaryotic mRNAs that encode for flavin mononucleotide (FMN) biosynthesis and transport proteins. The record is from RNAcentral. Lineage: Bacteria; Pseudomonadati; Pseudomonadota; Gammaproteobacteria; Vibrionales; Vibrionaceae.